This 569-nucleotide ribosomal RNA is filed under the name Pseudomonas fragi. RNAcentral describes it as "bacterial SSU rRNA". It matches the Rfam family "Bacterial small subunit ribosomal RNA", at positions 155 to 719 of the family's 1533-position model. Lineage: Bacteria; Pseudomonadati; Pseudomonadota; Gammaproteobacteria; Pseudomonadales; Pseudomonadaceae. The record is from RNAcentral.
AACGGACGCUAAUACCGCAUACGUCCUACGGCAGAAAGCAGGGGACCUUCGGGCCUUGCGCUAUCAGAUGAGCCUAGGUCGGAUUAGCUAGUUGGUGAGGUAAUGGCUCACCAAGGCUACGAUCCGUAACUGGUCUGAGAGGAUGAUCAGUCACACUGGAACUGAGACACGGUCCAGACUCCUACGGGAGGCAGCAGUGGGGAAUAUUGGACAAUGGGCGAAAGCCUGAUCCAGCCAUGCCGCGUGUGUGAAGAAGGUCUUCGGAUUGUAAAGCACUUUAAGUUGGGAGGAAGGGCAUUAACCUAAUACGUUAGUGCUUUGACGUUACCGACAGAAUAAGCACCGGCUAACUCUGUGCCAGCAGCCGCGGUAAUACAGAGGGUGCAAGCGUUAAUCGGAAUUACUGGGCGUAAAGCGCGCGUAGGUGGUUUGUUAAGUUGAAUGUGAAAUCCCCGGGCUCAACCUGGGAACUGCAUCCCAAACUGGCAAGCUAGAGUAUGGUAGAGGGUGGUGAAAUUUCCUGUGUAGCGGUGAAAUGCGUAGAUAUAGGAAGGAACACCAGUGGCGAA